UUGGUUCUUGGGACUUUGAAGGUUUAUUGCUGACAAAAUCGGUUUUACUUCAGGGCAUACUGGUAAUAUCUUAUCUGGAAAUGAUGUACAUCAUAUAUCUAUCACAAUUUGCAUUCAUAGUCUUCCUUAUUUUGUUUCUAUUUGCUAAUGGAUGAUGAUAGCUGAUACCAGUUUUCUUUGGCAUAUUAGAGCCUACUUUCUCUUUGGGAUUGGAUUGGAAACUUUUGAUUUGUAUGUCUUACCUUUUUCUUUGAUGGAACUAUACUACAUGUUAUUUAUCAUGGACUUUUUCGGGUUCAACGUAUGUUGUCACACAUUCGUUGGGAAAUACAUCUCUUGCAUAUGCAUUUUUUUUUACUUGGAGUGUAUGUCUGCUUGAAUAUUGUCUCA
RNAcentral lists this long non-coding RNA (390 nucleotides) under Eucalyptus grandis. Its description in RNAcentral is "long non-coding RNA (EGRA_LNC007093)". The record is from RNAcentral. Lineage: Eukaryota; Viridiplantae; Streptophyta; Magnoliopsida; Myrtales; Myrtaceae.